This 288-nucleotide ribosomal RNA is filed under the name uncultured Prevotella sp. RNAcentral describes it as "partial 16S ribosomal RNA". It matches the Rfam family "Bacterial small subunit ribosomal RNA", at positions 62 to 339 of the family's 1533-position model. Lineage: Bacteria; Pseudomonadati; Bacteroidota; Bacteroidia; Bacteroidales; Prevotellaceae. The record is from RNAcentral.
UCGAGGGGAAACGACAUCGAAAGCUUGCUUCCGAUAGGCGUCGACCGGCGCACGGGUGAGUAACGCGUAUCCAACCUGCCCAUCACUUGGGGAUAACCUUGCGAAAGUAAGACUAAUACCCAAUGACGUCUCUAGAAGACAUCUGAAAGAGAUUAAAGAUUUAUCGGUGAUGGAUGGGGAUGCGUUCCAUUAGGUAGUAGGCGGGGUAACGGCCCACCAAGGCAACGAUCAGUAGGGGUUCUGAGAGGAAGGUCCCCCACAUUGGAACUGAGACACGGUCCAAACUCC